Molecule: transfer RNA, 70 nt
Filed under: Marmota monax (woodchuck)
Lineage: Eukaryota; Metazoa; Chordata; Mammalia; Rodentia; Sciuridae
Description: tRNA.Ala
Rfam family: tRNA (bases 5-65)
About the family: Transfer RNA (tRNA) molecules are approximately 80 nucleotides in length. Their secondary structure includes four short double-helical elements and three loops (D, anti-codon, and T loops). Further hydrogen bonds mediate the characteristic L-shaped molecular structure. tRNAs have two regions of fundamental functional importance: the anti-codon, which is responsible for specific mRNA codon recognition, and the 3' end, to which the tRNAs corresponding amino acid is attached (by aminoacyl-tRNA synthetases). tRNAs cope with the degeneracy of the genetic code in two manners: having more than one tRNA (with a specific anti-codon) for a particular amino acid; and 'wobble' base-pairing, i.e. permitting non-standard base-pairing at the 3rd anti-codon position.
Source: RNAcentral
GGGUUGGGGCUCAGUGGUAGAGCGCACACCUUGCACGUAUGAGGCACUGGGUUCCAUCCUCAGCAUCACA